Molecule: ribosomal RNA, 443 nt
Filed under: uncultured bacterium
Lineage: Bacteria
Description: partial 16S ribosomal RNA
Rfam family: Bacterial small subunit ribosomal RNA
Source: RNAcentral
CCUACGGGUGGCAGCAGUGGGGAAUAUUGGGCAAUGGGCGCAAGCCUGACCCAGCAACGCCGCGUGAAGGAAGAAGGCUUUCGGGUUGUAAACUUCUUUUCUCAGGGACGAAGCAAGUGACGGUACCUGAGGAAUAAGCCACGGCUAACUAAGUGCCAGCAGCCGCGGUAAUACGUAGGUGGAAAGCAUUAUCCGGAUUUACUGGGUGUAAAGGGGGUGUAGGCGGGACUGCAAGUCAGAUGUGAAUACCACGGGCUCAACCUGUGGCCUGCAUUUGAAACUGUAGUUCUUGAGUACUGGAGAGGCAGACGGAAGUCCUAGUGUAGCGGUGAAAGGCGUAGAUAUUAGGAGGAACACCAGUGGCGAAGGCGGUCUGCUGGACAGCAACUGACGCUGAGGCGCGAAAGCGUGGGGAGCAAACAGGAUUAGAUACCCUUGUAGUC